Solanum dulcamara is the source of this 536-nucleotide long non-coding RNA. RefSeq lists it as uncharacterized. The record is from RefSeq and is a predicted model, not a curated record. The transcript is spliced from 2 exons. NCBI's taxonomy places the organism in Eukaryota, Viridiplantae, Streptophyta, Magnoliopsida, Solanales, Solanaceae.
CUACGUUUCGCUCUCUUCUUCUCAUGCAAAUUUUUUAAUCACACUUAUUUAUUCUUAUUUAUUAUUUGUUAGAAAUAAGAUUCUAAUCUUUAUGUACAUUGCAGAUAAAGUCAGAAUUUGAAGCUCAUACCUUCAUCUCUAACUCCUCUCCAGAUGUAUAUGUACACGUAUGGGCUCAUUCGAGGGUGACGCUCCAACAUGAUUUUUUUUCAUAUUCAGGGUUCGAACCCGAGACCUCUGGUUAGGGGUGAAGCAGCUCCAUCACUGCACCACUACCCAUGUUGGUGGUCUUUAAUUUAUAUUCCUCUUGAUAAAUAUUUUUUUAGGGCAUAAAUUUAUAUUUUCGUAUCAUAAUAUGUCAUAAGUUAUAUAUGAGUAUGCCUUCAGUUUCUAAAGAAUUUGUACCUCACUAGUUUCAAUUUCUAAAAGUAGGUGUGUCAAUGAGAUGGUUCGGUUGGUUAUUUCUUAAAAACUAUACCAUCCCAUCUUUUCGGGUAUUUUAUAAUGUAAAAUCAAAAUUAGAUUCUUUAAAACUA